UACGUAGGGUGCGAGCGUUAAUCGGAAUUACUGGGCGUAAAGCGUGCGCAGGCGGUUUUUUAAGCCAGAUGUGAAAUCCCCGGGGUUAAACUGGGAACUGCAUUUGGAACUGGAAGACUAGAGUACGGCAGAGGGGGGUAGAAUUCCACGUGUAGCAGUGAGAUGCGUAGAUAUGUGGAGGAAUACCGAUGGCGAAGGCAGCCCCCUGGGAUAACACUGACGCUCAUGCACGAAAACGUGGGGAGCAAACAGG
Molecule: ribosomal RNA, 253 nt
Filed under: uncultured bacterium
Lineage: Bacteria
Description: partial 16S ribosomal RNA
Rfam family: Bacterial small subunit ribosomal RNA
Source: RNAcentral